This 67-nucleotide transfer RNA is filed under the name Batracomorphus curvatus. Its description in RNAcentral is "tRNA-Leu". The record is from RNAcentral. Lineage: Eukaryota; Metazoa; Arthropoda; Insecta; Hemiptera; Cicadellidae.
AUUGAUUUGGCAGAAUUUAGUGCAUUAAAUUUAGGUUUUAAUAAAGUAAGUAUUUUUACAUUCAAUA